RNAcentral lists this long non-coding RNA (419 nucleotides) under Panax ginseng (ginseng). Its description in RNAcentral is "long non-coding RNA (PGIN_LNC007877)". The record is from RNAcentral. Lineage: Eukaryota; Viridiplantae; Streptophyta; Magnoliopsida; Apiales; Araliaceae.
GGAUAUGUUAUACAUAUAUAAGUUGAGUAUAUGUCCACAAAUUUUGAACCGUUAAAAAUGAACGUAUGAUUUGUUAUGAAUUUUAAGAGGUGACUGGUUCAGAAAUUAUUGAAGUAUCCGAAUUUAUCAUUUUGGUGGAAAAUUCUAGAAUUGGUGAGCCCCACUUUUGGUUGGUGAGAAAUGUGCUCAAAUUAAAUUUCAAAUGUGGUGGGUGGCAAUAGUACCAGGUAAAGCCAUCAGGUAGCAGGUCAAGUCUGCUUCAGCGUGCUACCAUUUUCCUAUAAAUAGAGAGCUAAGUUAGAAUUGAAAAUCACACCAGAAAUAUAAGCUUUCUCUCUCUAUAUUAUCGAGCGUAUUCUUGUGAGUAUUUUGAUACUUUGAGUGUUACUAUACGGUGCAAGUUCCUUCAUCACUAUAUC